CGACGCCGCGGUAACACCGGCAGCUCUAGUGGUAGCAGUUUUAUGGGCCUAAAGCGUCCGUAGCCGGUUUAAUAAGUCUCUGGUGAAAUCCUGUAGCUUAACUGUGGGAAUUGCUGGAGAUACUAUUAGACUUGAGACCGGGAGAGGUUAGAGGUACUCCCAGGGUAGAGGUGAAAUUCUGUAAUCCUGGGAGGACCGCCUGUUGCGAAGGCGUCUAACUGGAACGGUUCUGACGGUGAGGGACGAAAGUUAGGGGCGCGAACCGGAUUAGAUACCCGGGUAGUCCUAACCGUAAACGAUGCGGACUUGGUGUUGGGGUGGCUUUGAGCUGCUCCAGUGCCGAAGGGAAGCUGUUAAGUCCGCCGCCUGGGAAGUACGGUCGCAAGACUGAAACUUAAGGAAUUGGCGGGGGAGCACCACAACGCGUGGAGCCUGCCGGUUUAAUUGGAUUCAACGCCGGACAUCUCACCAGAGGCGACAGCUGUAUGAUAGCCAGGCUGAUGACUUUGCUUGACUAGCUGAGGGGAGGUGCAUGG
RNAcentral lists this ribosomal RNA (536 nucleotides) under uncultured archaeon. RNAcentral describes it as "bacterial SSU rRNA". It matches the Rfam family "Archaeal small subunit ribosomal RNA", at positions 460 to 997 of the family's 1478-position model. The record is from RNAcentral.